UCUGCAAAGAUGGCUGACAAAAAUACUUGGUUGGAAGAAAAUGGACUCCUGAAACAACCAGCAAACAGUGGGUGUAAAUAAUCUAGCUAGCUAAAGCAUUUACUGCAAAUUGAAUGUACACUUUUGUACGCUUCCCUUGCUGAUAUUUGCCAUGCAAUGCAGAAAGAUGAAUAACUAGCUAUGUUCUUUGCUUAUUGUGCAGUGGAAUAUAAAAAUACCUGUAUGGAUGUGUAGCUAGCCCCAUCUGUGUAUGGACCCAAACGUUUGGUAUACAAAUGAGUUCAGAACCUGGCUAUGAAUCUCAGCUAUCAUAGCCAGUUGUAUCAACUUCAAAACAGUCUGAAUUAUAUUAAUGAAGCCUAUGGAUUGAGUAGAAUAUAACUUUGUGCCAAGGAUGCAAGUUGUAUGUACAUUACCAUGCAUAAGAUCCCCACAUUGGAACCUGUACAUUUAAUAUAUUCACUGAUCAUGUACUCUACCUUGGCAAAUAAAGGUGCAGUUCAGGUA
Long non-coding RNA from Oncorhynchus keta (chum salmon), 507 nucleotides. RefSeq lists it as uncharacterized. The record is from RefSeq and is a predicted model, not a curated record. The transcript is spliced from 2 exons. Lineage: Eukaryota; Metazoa; Chordata; Actinopteri; Salmoniformes; Salmonidae.